UGGGGAAUUUUGGACAAUGGGGGAAACCCUGAUCCAGCCAUGCCGCGUGAGUGAAGAAGGCCUUCGGGUUGUAAAGCUCUUUUGGCCGGAAAGAAAAGGCCACGGAUAACACCCGUGGUUCUUGACGGUACCGGCAGAAUAAGCACCGGCUAACUACGUGCCAGCAGCCGCGGUAAUACGUAGGGUGCGAGCGUUAAUCGGAAUUACUGGGCGUAAAGCGUGCGUAGGCGGUCCCGCAAGUCCGCUGUGAAAGCCCCGGGCUUAACCUGGGAACUGCAGUGGAAACUAUGGGACUUGAAUCCGGCAGAGGGGGGUGGAAUGCCACGUGUAGCAGUGAAAUGCGUAGAGAUGUGGCGGAACACCGAUGGCGAAGGCAGCCCCCUGGGCUGAGAUUGACGCUCAGGCACGAAAGCGUGGGGAGCAAAC
This 426-nucleotide ribosomal RNA is filed under the name uncultured bacterium. Its description in RNAcentral is "bacterial SSU rRNA". It matches the Rfam family "Bacterial small subunit ribosomal RNA", at positions 355 to 773 of the family's 1533-position model. The record is from RNAcentral.